GACGUAGGUGGCGACCGUUAUCCGGAAUUAUUGGGCGUAAAGGGUGCGUAGGUGGCCUGACAAGUUAUCAGUGGCAAAUCGAGGCUCAACCUCGUGGAAACUGGUAAUACUGUUCGGCUUGAGUACAGGAGAGGUUAACGGAACUCUAUGUGGAGCGGUAAAAUGCACAGAUAUAUAGAAGAACAGCAAUAAAGGCGAAGGCAGUUAACUAUUCUGUUACUGACGCUGAGGCACGAAAGCGUGGGGAGCAAAACGG
This 256-nucleotide ribosomal RNA is filed under the name uncultured bacterium. Its description in RNAcentral is "partial 16S ribosomal RNA". It matches the Rfam family "Bacterial small subunit ribosomal RNA", at positions 524 to 776 of the family's 1533-position model. The record is from RNAcentral.